Molecule: ribosomal RNA, 423 nt
Filed under: uncultured bacterium
Lineage: Bacteria
Description: partial 16S ribosomal RNA
Rfam family: Bacterial small subunit ribosomal RNA
Source: RNAcentral
GAAUUUUGGACAAUGGGCGAAAGCCUGAUCCAGCAAUGCCGCGUGCAGGAUGAAGGCCUUCGGGUUGUAAACUGCUUUUGUACGGAACGAAAAGCUUUGGGUUAAUACCUUGGAGACAUUACGGUUCCGUAAGAUUAAGCACCGGAUAACUACGUUCCAGCAGCCGCGGUAAUACUUUGGGUGCACGCGUUAAUCGGCAUUACUGGGAGUAAAGCGUGCGCAGGCGGUUUUGUAAGACAGAGGUGAACUCCCCGGGCUCAACCUGGGAACUGCCUUUGUGACUGCAAGGCUAGAGUACGGCAGAGGGGGGUGGAAUUCCGCGUGUAGCAGUGAAAUGCGUAGAUAUGCGGAGGAACACCGAUGGCGAAGGCAACCCCCUGGGCCUGUACUGACGCUCAUGCACGAAAGCGUGGGGAGCAAACA